CCUCGAAAACAUCCAACUCUUCGGCUAUUAUUAGACAUGCAGCAUAUGGCUCGGAAUGAGGCUCCGCCUGAGCCCUAACUGGGCUUCCUGGGCGCACGUGUUGCUUUAGCUUCACAUCGAGGUGGUCGGUCAGUGUGAGACCUGCAGUCUGAGGACCACACUCACAAACCGGGGUGCUGCUCCAACAUCAGCCGCUUUGGUUGAAUUGCUGUCAAACCGCGUUUCUGCAGAUUCAAGCCCCGCUGAUGUCUGACGUCCUCUCGGUGUCCCUCUGAUGUCUGACGUCCUCUCGGUGUCCCUCUGAUGUCUGACGUCCUCUCGGUGUCCCUCUGAUGUCUGACGUCCUCUCGGUGUCCCUCUGAUGUCUGACGUCCUCUCGGUGUCCCUCUGAUGUCUGACGUCCUCUCGGUGUCCCUCUGAUGUCUGAUGUCCUCUCGGUGUCCCUCUGAUGUCUCAGUAGGCUCUUUCAGGGCACGAUCAGCAACGAACAAACAUUACAGCAGCCAGAGAAGAACCGCAGCAUUACAACUGGACUUCCUGUGGACGAUUUGAUUACCACUCUGUUUUCCAGGAAAAAUAAUCCAAUGUGGCUCAAAACAAAGCCUUAACUGUCUGGAUGUCUCGUUCUGUUUUUAUUCCUGAGUUCUGCAGCAAGACUGGAAACUGACAAAGGAAAUAAAACGUUCUGUUUCUGA
This is a long non-coding RNA of Cyclopterus lumpus (lumpfish), 695 nucleotides long. RefSeq lists it as uncharacterized. The record is from RefSeq and is a predicted model, not a curated record. The transcript is spliced from 2 exons. Lineage: Eukaryota; Metazoa; Chordata; Actinopteri; Perciformes; Cyclopteridae.